CCUACGGGAGGCAGCAGUGAGGAAUAUUGGACAAUGGACGAGAGCCUGAAGCAGCGAAGCAGCGUGAAGGAUGACGGCCCUAGGGAUUGUAAACUUCUUUUAUAUGGGAAUAAAACAGGGUAUGCAUACCCUCAUGUAUGUACAAUAUGAAUAAGGAUCGGCGAACUACGUGCCAGCAGCCGCGGUAAUACGGAGGAGUCGAGCGUUAUCCGGAUGUAGUGGGUUUAAAGGGAGCGUAGGUGGAUUUUCAAGUCAGUUGUGAAAGUUGGCGGCUCAACCGUGAAAUUGCAUUUGAAACUGGCAGUCUUGAGUGCAGUAGAGGUGAGCGGAAUUCGUGGUGUAGCGGUGAAAUGCUUAGAUAUCACGAAGAACUCCGGUUGCGAAGGCAGCUUACUGGACUGUAACUGACGCUGAGGCUCGAAAGUGUGGGUAGCAAACAGGAUUAGAUACCCGAGUAGUC
This 460-nucleotide ribosomal RNA is filed under the name uncultured bacterium. Its description in RNAcentral is "partial 16S ribosomal RNA". It matches the Rfam family "Bacterial small subunit ribosomal RNA", at positions 338 to 795 of the family's 1533-position model. The record is from RNAcentral.